AUAUUAACCGGGAUUGUCAAACUUGAUCUUCCACAGACUUCAUUUCCAGCAGCUUGUUGUUACUUCUGGAUUAAGUCCAUUCAUCAAAGACUUUUUCUGAUCGACAGACACAAGCGAUUCCGGUUUUGCAGUUUCAACAGUCGGCAACAACACUCCUGGACUUUUUAUCCGAACCAUAAACAGUUGCAGCUGAUGCAGGCUCGUUCAAAUUAAGUCAAAAAUAACACCAGUGACCUUCAUUGUUAGCCUCCGCAGAUCAUUAAUGUCUUCACAAAAUCAAAAAUAUUCAUAUUUUCU
Molecule: long non-coding RNA, 297 nt
Filed under: Daucus carota (carrot)
Lineage: Eukaryota; Viridiplantae; Streptophyta; Magnoliopsida; Apiales; Apiaceae
Description: long non-coding RNA (DCAR_LNC004234)
Source: RNAcentral